AUCUUCAGGGCAGGGUGAAAUUCCCUACCGGCGGUAAAGCCCGCGAGCCUAUAUGGCAUGAUUCGGUGAAAUUCCGAGGCCGACAGUAAAGUCUGGAUGGAAGAAGAUA
This 109-nucleotide non-coding RNA is filed under the name Romboutsia timonensis. RNAcentral describes it as "FMN riboswitch (RFN element)". It matches the Rfam family "FMN riboswitch aptamer (RFN element)". From Rfam's summary of the family: The RFN element is a highly conserved domain that is found frequently in the 5'-untranslated regions of prokaryotic mRNAs that encode for flavin mononucleotide (FMN) biosynthesis and transport proteins. This element is a metabolite-dependent riboswitch that directly binds FMN in the absence of proteins. The record is from RNAcentral. Lineage: Bacteria; Bacillati; Bacillota; Clostridia; Peptostreptococcales; Peptostreptococcaceae.